AUUCUCUGCCUGCCUGCAGUGCUGGUCCCUCCUUUCCUGUUGUCUUUGAGCUGUGUCCCCGAUGCAGGCAGCAUUUAUGGAUUCUGGGCCAGUUCUGCAUCAUCACCCAUUCUACCUUCUCUGUCGUAUUCUCACCGUGCUAAGAGCACUCGAUGAGAGGGGUGGGAGCUCCGUAGUAAAUGCGCAAGGGGUUGCGUUGUAUCACACACAGCAGGCCCAGGGUGGCCAUCAGGUCUUGGAAGUCCCUCGUCCUCGAGAGCUGCAAUUUGAUACUGAUUGGAUGGUGCAGGAAUACCCGGAUGUCUGCACACAAGAAAAGCCUGGCUUCAGUCGUCACCGUGAGGGAUCACGGCCUUUCACGGGGUUUCAGACCUAAAUCAUCUCACAAACCCAGAAAUCCUUAAUUAAUGAAAAGCACGGAUAAUUUUCAUCUCAGAUUUCCCCA
This 445-nucleotide long non-coding RNA is filed under the name Fukomys damarensis (Damara mole-rat). Its description in RNAcentral is "lncRNA (ENSFDAG00000028163.1)". Lineage: Eukaryota; Metazoa; Chordata; Mammalia; Rodentia; Bathyergidae. The record is from RNAcentral.